UCCGUAGGCGGGCAAUUAAGUCAGAGGUGAAAUCCCACAGCUCAACUGUGGAACUGCCUUUGAUACUGGUUGUCUUGAGUUAUAAUGAAGUAGAUAGAAUAUGUAGUGUAGCGGUGAAAUGCAUAGAUAUUACAUAGAAUACCGAUUGCGAAGGCAGUCUACUAACUGUAUACUGACGCUAAUGGACGAAAGCGUGGGGAGCGAACAGGAUUAGAUACCCUGGUAGUCC
RNAcentral lists this ribosomal RNA (229 nucleotides) under uncultured bacterium. RNAcentral describes it as "partial 16S ribosomal RNA". It matches the Rfam family "Bacterial small subunit ribosomal RNA", at positions 568 to 796 of the family's 1533-position model. The record is from RNAcentral.